CCUACGGGAGGCAGCAGUGAGGAAUAUUGGUCAAUGGGCGUAAGCCUGAACCAGCCAAGUCGCGUGAGGGAUGAAGGUUCUAUGGAUCGUAAACCUCUUUUAUAAGGGAAUAAAGUGUGGGACGUGUCCUGUUUUGUAUGUACCUUAUGAAUAAGGAUCGGCUAACUCCGUGCCAGCAGCCGCGGUAAUACGGAGGAUCCGAGCGUUUUCCGGAUUUAUUGGGUUUAAAGGGUGCGUAGGCGGCCUUUUAAGUCCGCGGUGAAAGUCUGUGGCUCAACCAUAGAAUUGCCGUUGAAACUGGGAGGCUUGAGUAUGUUUGAGGCAGGCGGAAUGCGUGGUGUAGCGGUGAAAUGCUUAGAUAUCACGCAGAACCCCGAUUGCGAAGGCAGCCUGCCAAGCCAUGACUGACGCUGAUGCACGAAAGCGUGGGGAUCAAACAGGAUUAGAUACCCGGGUAGUC
Molecule: ribosomal RNA, 460 nt
Filed under: uncultured bacterium
Lineage: Bacteria
Description: partial 16S ribosomal RNA
Rfam family: Bacterial small subunit ribosomal RNA
Source: RNAcentral